Molecule: unclassified non-coding RNA, 160 nt
Filed under: uncultured fungus
Lineage: Eukaryota; Fungi
Description: sequence contains ITS1
Source: RNAcentral
UUGAUUUCUCAAUUGUAGAAUCAGACACAGAUAAAACAUGCAGCAUAAAUGCGACGCCCCACGGAGGGGGUCGUCGAAGCACGUCGCUCUUCCACGGGUUUGAGGACUCGGGCCCGAGGGCCGUUCGUUAAUGAUCCCUCCGCAGGUUCACCUACGGAGA